GCUUUUAUAGUUUAACAUUUUUAAAACACUGGUCUUGUAAAUCAGAAAUAAGUAUUAAUUUCUUUUAAAGUU
This 72-nucleotide transfer RNA is filed under the name Carrikerella sp. Its description in RNAcentral is "tRNA-Thr". It matches the Rfam family "tRNA". Rfam says of the family: Transfer RNA (tRNA) molecules are approximately 80 nucleotides in length. Their secondary structure includes four short double-helical elements and three loops (D, anti-codon, and T loops). The record is from RNAcentral. Lineage: Eukaryota; Metazoa; Arthropoda; Insecta; Mantodea; Thespidae.